CGAUGGGUGCUAGGUGUGGGCGGUGUCGACUCCGUCCGUGCCGAAGCUAACGCAUUAAGCACCCCGCCUGGGGAGUACGGCCGCAAGGCUAAAACUCAAAGGAAUUGACGGGGGCCCGCACAAGCAGCGGAGCAUGUGGUUUAAUUCGACGCAACGCGAAGAACCUUACCAGGGCUUGACAUGCACGGGAAUGUCGUGGAAACACGGCAGCCUUCGGGCUCGUGCACAGGUGGUGCAUGGCUGUCGUCAG
Molecule: ribosomal RNA, 250 nt
Filed under: uncultured bacterium
Lineage: Bacteria
Description: partial 16S ribosomal RNA
Rfam family: Bacterial small subunit ribosomal RNA
Source: RNAcentral